CAGCAUUCUGUAGCAAUACAGGGUGUGGGCGCGUGGCGAACGGGUGCGUAACACGUGGAUAACCUUCCUUGAGGUGGGGAAUAACCCAGUGAAAAUUGGGCUAAUACCGCAUAACAUGACGAUGGCACAUGCCGUUGUCUUCAAAGGCGCAAGUCGCCACAAGAGGGAUCCGCGGCCGAUUAGCUUGUUGGCGAGGUAAUGGCUCACCAAGGCAUUGAUCGGUAGCCGGACUGAGAGGUUGGCCGGCCACACUGGAACUGAGACACGGUCCAGACUCCUACGGGAGGCAGCAGUGGGGAAUCUUGCACAAUGGACGAAAGUCUGAUGCAGCAACGCCGCGUGGGGGAUGAAGCUUCUCGGA
RNAcentral lists this ribosomal RNA (361 nucleotides) under uncultured bacterium. RNAcentral describes it as "bacterial SSU rRNA". It matches the Rfam family "Bacterial small subunit ribosomal RNA", at positions 67 to 422 of the family's 1533-position model. The record is from RNAcentral.